This 119-nucleotide ribosomal RNA is filed under the name Pteropus alecto (black flying fox). The record is from RNAcentral. Lineage: Eukaryota; Metazoa; Chordata; Mammalia; Chiroptera; Pteropodidae.
AUCUACAGCCAUGCCACCCUGAACGUGCCCAAUCUCGUCUGAUCUUGGAAGCUAAGCAGGGUCGGGUCUGGUUAGUACUUGGAUGGGAGACCACCAAGGAAUACUGGGUGCUGUAGGCA